RNAcentral lists this transfer RNA (85 nucleotides) under Felis catus (domestic cat). It matches the Rfam family "tRNA". From Rfam's summary of the family: Transfer RNA (tRNA) molecules are approximately 80 nucleotides in length. Their secondary structure includes four short double-helical elements and three loops (D, anti-codon, and T loops). The record is from Rfam by way of RNAcentral. Lineage: Eukaryota; Metazoa; Chordata; Mammalia; Carnivora; Felidae.
GCCUGGGUGGCUCAGUCGGUUGAGCAUCUGACUUCGGCUCAGGUCAUGAUCUCAACAUCCGUGAGUUCAAGCCCCGCAUCAGGCU